RNAcentral lists this ribosomal RNA (468 nucleotides) under uncultured bacterium. RNAcentral describes it as "partial 16S ribosomal RNA". It matches the Rfam family "Bacterial small subunit ribosomal RNA", at positions 28 to 507 of the family's 1533-position model. The record is from RNAcentral.
GACGAACGCUGGCGGCGUGCUUAACACAUGCAAGUCGAACGGAAAGGCCCUGCUUUUGUGGGGUGCUCGAGUGGCGAACGGGUGAGUAACACGUGAGUGACCUGCCCUUGACUUUGGGAUAACUUCAGGAAACUGGGGCUAAUACCGGAUAGGAGCUCCUGCUGCAUGGUGGGGGUUGGAAAGUUUCGGCGGUUGGGGAUGGACUCGCGGCUUAUCAGCUUGUUGGUGGGGUAGUGGCUUACCAAGGCUUUGACGGGUAGCCGGCCUGAGAGGGUGACCGGCCACAUUGGGACUGAGAUACGGCCCAGACUCCUACGGGAGGCAGCAGUGGGGAAUAUUGCACAAUGGGCGGAAGCCUGAUGCAGCAACGCCGCGUGCGGGAUGACGGCCUUCGGGUUGGAAACCGCUUUCGCCUGUGACGAAGCGUGAGUGACGGUAAUGGGUAAAGAAGCACCGGCUAACUACGUG